This 604-nucleotide ribosomal RNA is filed under the name uncultured bacterium. RNAcentral's name for it is "bacterial SSU rRNA". It matches the Rfam family "Bacterial small subunit ribosomal RNA", at positions 249 to 844 of the family's 1533-position model. The record is from RNAcentral.
UUGGUGGGGUAACGGCCUACCAAGGCGACGAUCAGUAGCCGGCCUGAGAGGGUGAACGGCCACACUGGGACUGAGACACGGCCCAGACUCCUACGGGAGGCAGCAGUGGGGAAUCUUCCGCAAUGGACGCAAGUCUGACGGAGCAACGCCGCGUGUAUGAAGAAGGCCUUCGAGUUGUAAAAUACUGUUGUUAGGGAAGAACCGGUUAUGUGAGAAUAUUGCAUGGCCCUGACGGUACCUAACGAGGAAGCCCCGGCUAACUACGUGCCAGCAGCCGCGGUAAUACGUAGGGGGCGAGCGUUGUCCGGAAUUAUUGGGCGUAAAGGGCGCGUAGGCGGCUUAUCAAGUCUGAUGUGAAAGUGCGGGGCUUAACCCCGUAAAGCAUUGGAAACUGGUAAGCUUGAGGGCAGGAGAGGAAAGUGGAAUUCCUAGUGUAGCGGUGAAAUGCGUAGAGAUUAGGAGGAACACCAGUGGCGAAGGCGACUUUCUGGACUGCACCUGACGCUGAGGCGCGAAAGCGUGGGUAGCGAACAGGAUUAGAUACCCUGGUAGUCCACGCCGUAAACGAUGAGUGCUAGGUGUAGAGGGUAUCGACCCCUUCUGU